This 1528-nucleotide long non-coding RNA is filed under the name Equus caballus (horse). RNAcentral describes it as "lncRNA (ENSECAG00000053860.1)". The record is from RNAcentral. Lineage: Eukaryota; Metazoa; Chordata; Mammalia; Perissodactyla; Equidae.
ACACAAGUUAAUCAUAACAAGAAACUUCCAGCGAGAUUUUAAAAGAUUUCCCAUUUGUCCCUGUUACCCUAGCUGCAGUUACAGGCAGAAAAAGUGGGACUACGCCAGACCACUGGGGAGGUUCAUCAAAAUUCAUCCCAUUAGCCAGGCUGUCCUUGUGAAAAGGAAAAUUAUUAUAGCAGGUGUGACUGGAGUGGGGCCAGCUCCCUCCAGCCCUCAACCCCAAACAAAACCUCACCCUGGCAACGUUGAGAGUAUUGCAGACUGAAACUUUUUUCUUAUUCCCAAGGUUAAAAAUCAGUAGACUUUAAAAAAGAUUUUCAGAUUUUCCACAGGAUAAUAAAAUGGGAACCAUAGUGUAAACUGUUUCCUACCCUUGCCCCCAUGACCAUAGCCACUUCCUUCUUUGCCCUUGAAAAAUUCAUGAGUGAUAUUAAAACGGACCUCUAUAGAUAUGUGAUAAAACAAAUAUAGUGAAGUGGUAUCUGUAUAAUCUAGGUGAUUAAUACAGUCACUGUAAAACUCACAUUUUCCCGUUUCCUCAGAGCCUCAGUUUCCCCAUCUGUGAAACAGGAGUAUUCUAUUAGUUGAGUAUUGGAUUAGUUGAGCUGGAAAGCUUUUCCCAGCUGUAAUGUUUUCAAGGCCAGUUCUCCAGUCGUCUUUUAGCUGCAGAAAACAAGAGGGCCUUCCCCAGGCUCUAAGGUGAUCCUCCUCCUCAUCUCGUCCUCUCUAAACUAUUUGUGCUUUUCCUAGCAGGAAAGGACACUAGCUCCACAUUAGAAGGCUGAGGGCAACUACUGUAGGCAUGAGAUCUUGAGCAAUACCAUUACCUCUCUCACCCUCGGUUUCUUUAUGUAUUUGGCGAUGAUAUUAUCCACAUCACAGGCCCAUUGUCUAGAUAAAAUGACGUAAUGAAUGUUAACUCCACCCCUUCAUUGUAAACUGUAAAGCAUCUCAUUAUUUUCUCAAUUUCUCUGAAACUCUUAUUACUUCUUCCUCUCUUUGCCAGAGGAGGUCAUCAAAGAGACUUCUAUCAGAAUCGAGGCCGGCUCCCAAAAGGCCAAAUCCACCUGUCCUACAGAGCAGCCAGCCAAGUCAGUGACAUUUCAUGACUAGCCCCCAGGGUCCUCUCCCUGGUGAAUUACUCCGUGCUUGCCUGAGAGCCUGUACACGCACUGCAAGACCUAAAUUCCAGGCCUGAUUCCACUCAUCAAGCACCUACAUCCCUUUCCCCCCACAGAUGUCAUUUGAGUACCAAUAGAAGGCAUUGUAUUAAGCUCUGCAAAUAGGUGUCAAUCACAUGUAGACUAGCAAAGCUGGUGAACAAACCUUGACUAUCACAAUAAUACUGCUAUUGAGCACCUACUGUAUGCCACUCUCUUUAAAUUAUAGAAUUCCCACAAUGGCCCUGAUCUUAUUUCUCAUUUUAUAGAUGAAGAAACUUAGGCUCAGAAAAUAUUUUACUAGCCCAAGUCAAAGCCGAAGUUUGGACAUGAUUCUCUAGACAACGGGAAGCUAAGAUUUGGAA